GUGUUGUUCUUCUGAAGGAUCGCUCGGCUGCCAAAUCAGAGCGCAGGGUGCGCGCCGGAAGAUCGCUGCUGCAGCAACAGAACAGAAGCAGCAGCACACGGGACCGAAAUGGCGUAGCGCGCAGUCCACUGCUGCAGCAGCGGGGCCAGGCUCGCCGAUCAUCCCAGAGCCUGGCCCGUCGUCCUCCAACCGACGAGUAUGAUGGAGGUGACUUUUAGUUCCAGUUCGUUUGCUUCGAAACCAGCACGAGAUUACCGGAGACGAACAGUGCCCUUCAUUUGUCAUAUCAAGAAGAGAAAGCAACAGUCCUGGAAGGAACUCAUGACCAGAUAAGAUCGUCAUGACUUUGUUCUUCAAGAUGCUCUCCAUCCCAAUAAGUUGACUUUCCUCCAGCGUUAUUUCAAGGAAGUGUUUGUUCAGCAUACCAACUGUCACUGGUCUAUGAAAAUAUCAUCUCUGCACUUUGGAGACGACAACUGAAGUUGUUUUUAUCCAUGAAACAACCAUAAACUCUUCAUGUGUCCAGAAAAGUUAAGUAACAAAAUUGUGCCACAGUAAAGAGUCAUCAUCUGGUCAUAUUUGUUAUAAAUAAAUCCAGUGGAGUAGGCCUAUUUAUAUGUUGCAGGUUGUUAAAAAGAAGUGAAAAGGGAAAUGGUGAAAGUGCACUUGCUUUGCAUGUAAAACAAAUGCAUAUUUAAAAAUGAAAUCAUGCAAGCAAGACAAAGUAGCUUCAUCCAACAGUUUUAUUAUAUGCAGAUUAAGUGCCUAGACUUAGUCUUUUAUUAAGUCUUGAAAAUGUCUGAAAGUUUCAUUUCUGAGACAAUAAACUGUAGACAGAUGUUCUCUUAAUUCAGAACUCAUAUUGGUGCUUUCGCAAAACCAUGAACCAUGCUUUCAUUUCAUUUUUCACUUGACAAACCAAGACAGACAGUGUGGAACACUGACCCGCGCAUUAGCUUUAUAAAUACCACAGUUAAACUUUCUUGUGGGAGUGGGGUGCUAAUGAGAUGCAGGACAUAAUGAAUUAUAAUUAUUUUACUACCUCAGAAGUUACUACAGCUCAGACCCACACAGCGAACACUCUGAUCAACCUAUAUUCACAUGCUUUUCUUACAGUAAUGUCAAUCGAGUCAUUGUUUGUCAAAUGGUUUGGGGAUCAGUUGAAAGAGGAGUAAGCAUGAUUCUUUUCACUUCUUGUACAUUAGUUUAUUAAUAGGUUUGGGAAUAUCACACAAAUCAUAAAGAGACCUUGUAGUUCACUGGUUGUACACUGGCGGCCAAAAGUUUGGAAUAAUUACAUUUUUUUUUAACCAUUUUUGAAAAGAAUAUAAGAAAAUCUUAAAAUAACUGGUUUCUAUUUGAAUAAAAAUAAUAAUAAUAAUUUAUUCAUGUGAUGGCAAAGCUGAAUUUUCACCAGGCAUUACUUGGUGUCACAUUAUCCUUCAUUAUUGUUAUCAAUAUUUAAGAUUUUUGUGGAGAUCAUGAGAUAUUAUAUAUUAUAAUAUACAUUAUUUGAGUAAUAGAAAGUUAACUGAACAGCAUUUAUUAGAAAUAUUUUUUUGUAACUUUAGUGUCUUUAUUGUCACUUUUGAUCAAUUUAAUGCAUUCUU
This is a long non-coding RNA of Carassius carassius (crucian carp), 1610 nucleotides long. RefSeq lists it as uncharacterized. NCBI's taxonomy places the organism in Eukaryota, Metazoa, Chordata, Actinopteri, Cypriniformes, Cyprinidae. The record is from RefSeq and is a predicted model, not a curated record. The transcript has 3 exons.